AGUGAACGCUGGCGGUAUGCCUAACACAUGCAAGUCGAACGGCAGCACAUUAAGAUCUUGCUCUUACGGGUGGCGAGUGGCGGACGGGUGAGGCAUACAUCGUAAGCUACUUUUUCGUGGGGGAUAACGGAGGGAGACUUACGCUAAUACCUCAUAACACCUACGAGUAGAAGCAGGGGAUAUUCGUACAUUUCGAGCACGAAUGAGCCGAUGUCGGAUUAGUUAGUUGGGGGGGUAAAGGCCCACCAAGGCGACGAUCCGUAGCUGGUCUGCGGGGAGGACGGCCCACAUGGGAAUGGGACAAGGGCCAAGAUUCUUACGGGAGGCACAAGAGGGAAAUAUUGGACAAUGGGCGAAAGCCUGAUCCAGACAUACCGCGUGGGUGAAGAAGGCCUUCGGGUUGUAAAGCCCGUUUGUUGGGAAAGAAAAGCAGCAGGUUAAUACCCCGCUGUUCUGACGGUACCCAAAGAAUAAGCACCGGCUAACUUCGUG
RNAcentral lists this ribosomal RNA (492 nucleotides) under uncultured bacterium. Its description in RNAcentral is "partial 16S ribosomal RNA". It matches the Rfam family "Bacterial small subunit ribosomal RNA", at positions 29 to 507 of the family's 1533-position model. The record is from RNAcentral.